AUGUUUGUAAGGGUCAAAUCUUGCAAGUUAAAUUUGACCCACUUCUCGGUUUCCGAUGAAGCUGAAAAUUUGCAUACAUAUUCGAGUGACAAUGCAAUAUUAUGGUACCAUCGAGCUGAUCUGAUGAUGGAGACAGGAGGUGGUCAUAGGAACUGUGAUAAAAACAACGCAACCAAAUUGUGUUUGGGGUUUUUAGAAUUGUCUCGAUGAAUAUUAGUUGCCUGUGGAAAGAAAAGUACAGUCAGCGAUAAAAGCUUGUACCAAAAAUGAAAUUUUUGUCAAAAACUUAUUCUACAGAUAAAGUUGGUAUCUCAUAGGUAAGCAUGUUCCACCGUAGACCACAUCAUCACUUACCAUCAGGUGGGAUCGUGGUCAAA
Cydia strobilella is the source of this 377-nucleotide long non-coding RNA. RefSeq lists it as uncharacterized. The transcript is spliced from 3 exons. The record is from RefSeq and is a predicted model, not a curated record. NCBI's taxonomy places the organism in Eukaryota, Metazoa, Arthropoda, Insecta, Lepidoptera, Tortricidae.